ACACAGCAUUGUCCCCUGCAUUCUCCCCAUGCUCCCUGGGGCCUUGCAAGCUCCAGAUUCUCCAUCUGUGAAUGGGGACAAUAAGGCCAGCUCUGGGGGCUGAGGGCUGGACCUGGGGGCAGGCUCAGGGCAGGCUCAGCCCCACAUGGCCUGCUCUGUCCUUGCUGUUCACCAUCUGCCUGUGGCUCACUCAGAAACUCCCACUGACAGAUUUGAACCUGCCAGAGCAACGUGCUGGGGGCACUUCUCCUUUCUGCUGCCAUGUGAAGAAGGACAUGUUUGCCCCCGCUUCCGCCAUGAUUGUGUUUCCCGAGGCCUCUUCAGCCAUGCUGAACUGAUUAUGCUGGAGUGAUGGGUUUGGGGGAAGAAGACCACCAAGGUGACAUGCCCUGCUCACCCCAUCAUUUCUGGGGGUACCUAGUAUUCACACGACUCAUCACUGGGAAUGCUGAUCUUCGUUGACUGGUGAAGGUGAUGUCUGCCAGGUUUCUCCACGGUACUGUUACUGUUUUUCCUAUUUCUACAUCCUUGACUCUCUGGGUCAAGUGAAUCUUCUGUGCCCAGCACUUUGCACUGAUGUUUCACUUAGCUCAACCCCUGUUACUGUCCCUCUGAUGGAGGUCCUGAUAAUCUCUAAACUUAGCAAAUUCGCGGUUACAAAGGCUCAGGGAUCUCUUAGUCAAAACCUUCUUUACCGUUUUUACAGACAAGGAGACUUAGAUCUGGAGAGAGGUGUGAUGCACUUAAUGAUCACACCACAAGCUGAAGGAAAAUGGCCAGCGGGUGCGGUGGCUCACACCUGUCAUCCCAGCACUUUGGGAGGCUGAGGUGGGUGGAUCACUUGAGGUUAGGAGUUCGAGACCAGCCUGGCCAACAUGGCGAAACCCUUUCUCUACUAAAAAUACAAAAAUUAGCUGGGCUUGGUGGCGCAUGACUAUAAUCCCAGCUACUCGGGAGGUUGAGGCAGGAGAAUCACUCGAACCCAGAAGGCGGAGGUUGCAGUGAGCCAAGAUAUCGCAACUGCACUCCAGCCUGGGUGACAGAGUGAGACUCUGUCUCAAAAAAAGAAAAUGGCCUUGGGGCACUGAACCACAGCAGAGAUCUGGAGGAUGUCCUGGCCCAGAGUAAAUGCUCCAUGGGCAUUUAUUGGUUGACAAGGUCAGCAUAUGUUGUAUGAAUGCUAAGAGUUUCCACAUGCAAUGAGGUAUCUCUCUGUGGACGACAUAGCCAUGGGGUCGCCUGCUGCCUCCCAGUUACCCAUACAAACCAUGGAAGCAGGAAUGGGUGACAGCCCCACGCUCCCCUGCUGUGAGCCUCCACUGCUCCGUCUGGCUACGCAGCAGCACCAGCUCCUCCUUCUGUCCAGCUGGAUAGAGAGCCUGCAGGAAGCUGGAGUCUGGGUUUCAGUGGCUACAGACAACCCUCCAAGUGGUAUGUGAGUGGGCACUUUCACCCUCUGCAGGUGACCAUGCACAGUGGUACAGCAACUUAUUUUAUUAUUAUUCUUUUGA
Long non-coding RNA from Callithrix jacchus (white-tufted-ear marmoset), 1511 nucleotides. RefSeq lists it as uncharacterized. The record is from RefSeq and is a predicted model, not a curated record. NCBI's taxonomy places the organism in Eukaryota, Metazoa, Chordata, Mammalia, Primates, Cebidae.